GAUGCCGUCACUCUUCAGUAACCUGGAGCCCAGCUAAGGAGUGUGGGAUGCAUCUUAAAAGUUCAGGGUACUCUCCUUAUUAGAAGCUUCUUUCCCUGGAGCCUGGCUUACUCUGAGAUCUCAUGUAGGGUUUCUGACAAGGAGCCUUCUGCAGAGGACCCAUCUACCAGAAUUAUAAUUCUAGAAUCUGUCAGCACUGAUAUGAAUUAAGUUGUUUAAGCUCUGAUGGGUGCAGAGGGAAGCCGGCAUAAUUAGCACAGAGAAUGCUGAUCUGAUGAGUGGAGAGAUCAUGAACUAACUCGGUAUUUUCCAUCUCUAAAAUUCUGGUGAUAUGAAAUUGCUUUUAAGCAAGUUAAAAGACCUAGAGUUGGGGAACGUGUAAUCAGGCACCACUAGAUAAAGUGACAUGUGCUCUGGAGGCACUACUGACUGCUCAGGGGCCGUUACCACAUCACUUCUGCAGAGCAGAAAGAAGUGCACAAUUUGAGAAAGCGUGUUAUGUCCUUUUCAAACAGGAAAUCCAUGACCGUUCUGGAAUAAAGAAGUUCCAGUACUACCUCCUAAUGAAGCCUUUUGUGAAUUUCUACUGUACUCCAGUAUCUCCAUUAUGACAGCAUGCUAAUUAAAGAAAGAGAGAAGUGAUGAAUAAGGCACUUGUACUGCAACACGAACUUCAAGAAAAGGCCAGAAAGAAUAAAAUCACUAACAACCCCAACUUAUAACGUGAUGAUGGUCAGACGCAGGGCUGACACUUUUGCGAAACAUCUUAUGGCUCUCAACUUCAUCAAUUCGUAUCUCUUCAACACAUUUUCAGUAAACACUAAGAGGAUCAACUUGAAGGGGCUGUCAAAAAGCAAAUAAUGACAAUGUGAAGAGAAAAACCUAGAGCCUAACUCUUGAUUUACUGAAGCAACCACACAGGAAAAAGAUGUUAGUGUCAGUAUCCCUGAAAUGGGACCACCGAGGAAGUGGGGGAAAUUGUGAGUGUGGAAGUAGUGAGCAAGUUCUGUCCCAUGAGUCUGCAAGGAUACCAAGACCAAGGAGUAAGCUGUCGGAUGACUCUAGAUUGGGAGUGGGAGCCUGGAGACUGGUCUUGGCUAUGCCACUGAAUUUUGGAUGACACUGGGUAUUUCGUCUCACCCUCAUCAAAGGCUCGGGAGGAAAUGAAGUCUCUGAAUGUGAUGAACAUUUCCUGAGCAUCUACUGUAUCCUGGAUACACAGACUGUGCUGGGCACCAGCACUAGGGGUUUACUG
This is a long non-coding RNA of Suricata suricatta (meerkat), 1255 nucleotides long. RefSeq lists it as uncharacterized. The transcript has 5 exons. Lineage: Eukaryota; Metazoa; Chordata; Mammalia; Carnivora; Herpestidae. The record is from RefSeq and is a predicted model, not a curated record.